Molecule: microRNA, 21 nt
Filed under: Populus trichocarpa (black cottonwood)
Lineage: Eukaryota; Viridiplantae; Streptophyta; Magnoliopsida; Malpighiales; Salicaceae
Description: ptc-miR7831
Source: miRBase by way of RNAcentral
UACAUGUAGAGACCACCAAAC